GAUGAACGCUGGCGGCGUGCCUAAUACAUGCAAGUCGAGCGGUAAGGCUUCUUCGGAAGUACACGAGCGGCGGACGGCUGAGUAAUGCAUAGGAACGUACCCCAAACUGAGGGAUAAGCCACCGAAAGGUGGUCUAAUACCGCAUGUGCUCUUCGGAGUAAAGCUACGGCGGUUUGGGAGCGGCCUAUGUUCGAUUAGCUUGUUGGUGAGGUAAUGGCUCACCAAGGCGACGAUCGAUAGCGGGUCUGAGAGGAUGAUCCGCCAGACUGGAACUGAGACACGGUCCAGACUCCUACGGGAGGCAGCAGUAGGGAAUUUUCCACAAUGGGGGCAACCCUGAUGGAGCAACGCCGCGUGCAGGAUGAAGGCCUUCGGGUUGUAAACUGCUUUUCUCUGUGAUGAUUAUGACAGUAGCAGAGGAAUAAGGAUCGGCUAACUCCGUGCCAGCCGCCGCUGUAA
This 459-nucleotide ribosomal RNA is filed under the name uncultured bacterium. RNAcentral describes it as "partial 16S ribosomal RNA". It matches the Rfam family "Bacterial small subunit ribosomal RNA", at positions 28 to 523 of the family's 1533-position model. The record is from RNAcentral.